Equus caballus (horse) is the source of this 1339-nucleotide non-coding RNA. The record is from RefSeq and is a predicted model, not a curated record. NCBI's taxonomy places the organism in Eukaryota, Metazoa, Chordata, Mammalia, Perissodactyla, Equidae.
GCUCCACCCAGGGGGCGGGGACAGCAGCCGACCUCUGGAGCGCGCUGCCGGUGUUCGUUGCCCACGCACGGGAAGGAUACCCAAUGCAAGGGGGAAUGCGCUUUAUGACAAUCUCCUGACUCCUAGUAACUAGUUUCUUGGGAUUGUUUAAAAUUCCUUAACUUUUCUUGAAAUAAACUUAAACUCACGGGAGAGCUGUCGGCACAGUACCAAGGGAGACCUGACAGCAAGAGCAGCUCGGCUGACCCACGCCCUAGGGAAACUGAUGACAAUUAUUUCAAAACAAGCAAACAACAAAUAACCAUUUAAAGCCUUGGAAAUAGUCUUAAAAGAAGACGGCAAAUGAAGAAACAUCUAUUCAAGAAAAUCGGCCAAAAUUCGGUAAGAAACGCAAGAGUCUGAUAUUUCAACCAAGACGUCUUCCUCCUUUCACCCUCCCGACUCAGCAAGGCGAGACCCUCCUCCGGGACUACCCUAUCGGAAGCUAGGAGACCGAGGACCGGGCCUCGUCCUCCCACGGCUCCCAGUGGGAGGGGCAGGAAGUCAGCAGUUUUCACCCUGCCCCCGGCCAGCUGACACUGAGGCUAAUGCUAGGGGACUUCAGGAUGUGGAGAAACUCAGAUGCAGUCCAUGCAGCCACUGGUGGUUCUAUUGACUUUGCAAGUUCUUCUUUGGCAAGAUGUAGUAACAAGGCCUGAAGUGCCCUCCUGCUCAAAACAACUAAAAAACUAUAUUGACAAAAUGUAUGAAACAAGUUUUCAGACAUUGGACAUCAAAGACUGUAGGACAAUGAUCCCUGAGAGAGGUGAGCCCUGUGAUUACCCUAGCUUGCUGCCUGGAAAGAGUUUCCAGGCAUGGCACAGGGAGGGAGAACUCAGGCAGAGCCUGGUAAUCUCCUUCAAUUGAGGAUACAGAGUCCAGGGUGGCCAAAGUGUCUGGAAUUUUCAGGGCAAAGUACCAGAGGCAAGAGACCUGCACAGAGAGACUCUCUAGGGAUCUGAGAGAGUCCCCUCAAGUUUUCAGCUGGAUAAUAGUCAGUGCAUAUGAGGAAGGAAACCAUCCAAGUCUGUGGAAGAACUACCUGAAAGGAGCAGAGGAAACAAUUCUCAAAGCUCACAUAGGGAAAAGAAUAGUUCAUGUUCGCCCUAGACAGAGGGGGAAAAUUAGCCCUAGACUAAAGGCAACCCUAGUUCCAUAUAACAAAGCUUAAGGGCAAGCCUCCAAAAGAUCAAACUAUUUGUAAAUGAUUUAACUGCAUCUCAGAAGAAAGCUCAAAAAUAUAUGUAUGAGUACAAAAACAUCCAGUAUCCAACAAGGUAAAGUUCACAAUGUCUGGCAU